Molecule: ribosomal RNA, 433 nt
Filed under: uncultured bacterium
Lineage: Bacteria
Description: partial 16S ribosomal RNA
Rfam family: Bacterial small subunit ribosomal RNA
Source: RNAcentral
CCCUCCCUCUUUCUUCAUGCCUAACACAUGCAAGUCGAACGAUACCUUCGGGUCUAGUGGCGCACGGGUGCGUAACGCGUGGGAACCUGCCCUUAGGUUCGGAAUAACUCCCCGAAAGGGGUGCUAAUACCGGAUAAUGUCUUCGGACCAAAGAUUUAUCGCCUUUGGAUGGGCCCGCGUUGGAUUAGCUAGUUGGUAGGGUAAAAGCCUACCAAGGCGACGAUCCAUAGCUGGUCUGAGAGGAUGAUCAGCCACACUGGGACUGAGACACGGCCCAGACUCCUACGGGAGGCAGAAGUGGGGAAUAUUGGACAAUGGGCGAAAGCCUGAUCCAGCAAUGCCGCGUGAGUGAUGAAGGCCUUAGGGUUGUAAAGCUCUUUUACCCGGGAUGAUAAUGACAGUACCGGGAGAAUAAGCGCCGGCUAACUCCGUG